This 253-nucleotide ribosomal RNA is filed under the name uncultured bacterium. Its description in RNAcentral is "partial 16S ribosomal RNA". It matches the Rfam family "Bacterial small subunit ribosomal RNA", at positions 524 to 776 of the family's 1533-position model. The record is from RNAcentral.
UACGUAGGGGGCUAGCGUUGUCCGGAUUUAUUGGGCGUAAAGCGCGUGUAGGCGGCCAGGUAGGUCCGCUGUGAAAACUCGAGGCUCAACCUCGAGACGUCGGCGGAAACCCUCUGGCUAGAGUCCGGAAGAGGAGAGUGGAAUUCCUGGUGUAGCGGUGAAAUGCGCAGAUAUCAGGAAGAACACCCGUGGCGAAGGCGGCUCUCUGGUACGGAACUGACGCUGAGACGCGAAAGCGUGGGGAGCGAACAGG